ACAGCCGUUGCACACGAGUCAGUCGAUCCUAAGCCCCAGGAGAAAUCCUUGUUGAUACGCAGUCGAAUCGUUUGUUGCGCACCGGCUUGUCCUCGCGACUCGCACUCCUGACAAACUGACCGUAUCGGGCGAAAAGGAAUCCGGUU
This 146-nucleotide ribosomal RNA is filed under the name Nemurella pictetii. RNAcentral describes it as "partial 28S ribosomal RNA". The record is from RNAcentral. Lineage: Eukaryota; Metazoa; Arthropoda; Insecta; Plecoptera; Nemouridae.